This 464-nucleotide long non-coding RNA is filed under the name Medicago truncatula (barrel medic). Its description in RNAcentral is "long non-coding RNA (MTRU_LNC001801)". Lineage: Eukaryota; Viridiplantae; Streptophyta; Magnoliopsida; Fabales; Fabaceae. The record is from RNAcentral.
UUAUAGGCUAUAGCGCCGCUAACUCCGCUAUUUGACAAUAUUUUGUACUAAAUAGGGUAUUGAGGAAAACCAGCAGUUUGUUCAAAUUCCACUACCCUAUAAUGAUAGCGCCGCAAUAGCUUCUAUUAAAUAACACCGGUCGAAAACUAUCAAAUUAGGGGGGAGGGAUAAGCCAUGAUACAAUUGUACAAGGAAGAGAACGAAUCUAACCAUACACUUUCCAUUCAAUAAAAAUGCAACUAACUGGAUAUUCCCGUAACUAAAACUGCUUUGUAAAUUGUAAUGUAACUUUCGCGCACAUCAGAGGCUGAAACAUAACUCUGACAUGAACAUAUGCCAAAAGCAGUAUGAUCAAGCAUAGGAACCAGUAACUUUUGCGAAUAUUUAAACAUGUUGUAGAGAAAACUCUAAAUAAAUUUAAGGUCAUCACAUAACAUGUUAUUGUUAAGACUCUAAAAAUUAUU